RNAcentral lists this ribosomal RNA (253 nucleotides) under uncultured bacterium. RNAcentral's name for it is "partial 16S ribosomal RNA". It matches the Rfam family "Bacterial small subunit ribosomal RNA", at positions 524 to 776 of the family's 1533-position model. The record is from RNAcentral.
UACGGGGGGGGCAAGCGUUGUUCGGAAUUACUGGGCGUAAAGGGCCAGUAGGCGGCCAACUAAGUCGGACGUGAAAUCCCCAGGCUCAACCUGGGAACUGCGUCCGAUACUGGAUGGCUUGAAUUCGGGAGAGGUGAGUGGAACUGCGAGUGUAGAGGUGAAAUUCGUAGAUAUUCGCAAGAACACCAGUGGCGAAGGCGGCUCACUGGCCCGAUACUGACGCUGAGGCACGAAAGCGUGGGGAGCAAACAGG